AGCUCCGGGGCCGCGCAGCCCCUCCGUCCCCCCCCCCCCCCUCACUCCCCAUUUCCCCCCCGGGACCCCCCGCCCCUCACCCUCCUUUCUGCCCCUCGUGCGGCCGCAGCGCAGCUCCGCGCGCCCCUCCCCCUCCGCGGCGCUCCGCCGGCGCUACUUCCUCUUAAAGGGGCCGCGCCCCGCGCUGCGCUUCUUCCUCUUAAAGGGGCCGCGCUGCGCUGCGCUGCGAACGCCCUCCUCGUAGGGCGGGGCGGGACGCCGGAGGGUCGCAGUCGGACGUGCUCGUGGCCGGAGCUGUGAGAGCCGCAGUGGGGCACAGAGCUGCAGCGAUGCGGCCAAAGGCUCAGCACAGCGCUGGGAGGAGGAAGGAGAAGUGGAAGGAGGCGCAGCUCCGACACAACGGCUCUUAUGGCAGUAAGGAGCGAUUUUCUGCAGGAGGAGAGCCUGCCGUGCUGCUGGGAGCAGCGAUGCACAGCACCGUGCAGUUCAGGCCCUGCCGCUCCCCCCAUUGACCCCACGGCCCUUGCUGGACAGUGCAGCCCCACAGUGCAGCAUUGUGGCCCAACAACCCACUGCCUCUGUCUGCGGGAGGAGCUCCGUGCAGACGCAGUGACAGCGACUCUGCAAAGGCGAUGGGUUUUUCCUCCGUGCAAAGCCGGCAGCUCACAGCUGCUGCGGCAGAGAGGACUUCGCACCUCCGCAGCGCUCUCAGCUCCCCCACGUGCAGCAUAAGGGCACAGACACAGCGCUGCCCUCCAGCAGCCGCACGGGGGAUAUCCGGCAUUACAGAGCCGCACCAUCCCUGCACCCACACCACUGAACGGCGCCGAAGGGUUCAACUUUGUUUUGAAAGUUUAUUGGAUCAUCUCGACACAAAAUCAUUACAGCAGCUUGUGGGAUGUUCUCUUUGUUCUUUUGUCUUUUUUUUUUUUUCCUCUUUUCUUUUUCAAGGGAAUGUCGAUAGCAAAUAAAUCUGUGAAUGUAACACAUCA
Molecule: long non-coding RNA, 992 nt
Organism: Gallus gallus (chicken)
Lineage: Eukaryota; Metazoa; Chordata; Aves; Galliformes; Phasianidae
Exons: 2
Source: RefSeq, a predicted model, not a curated record